This 497-nucleotide ribosomal RNA is filed under the name uncultured bacterium. RNAcentral's name for it is "partial 16S ribosomal RNA". It matches the Rfam family "Bacterial small subunit ribosomal RNA", at positions 28 to 507 of the family's 1533-position model. The record is from RNAcentral.
GACGAACGCUGGCGGCGUGCCUAAUACAUGCCAGUUGAGCGCUGAAGGUUGGUACUUGUACCAACUGGAUGAGCAGCGAACGGGUGAGUAACGCGUGGGGAAUCUGCCUUUGAGCGGGGGACAACAUUUGGAAACGAAUGCUAAUACCGCAUAAAAACUCUAAACACAAGUUUUAAGUUUGAAAGAUGCAAUUGCAUCACUCAAAGAUGAUCCCGCGUUGUAUUAGCUAGUUGGUGAGGUAAAGGCUCACCAAGGCGAUGAUACAUAGCCGACCUGAGAGGGUGAUCGGCCACAUUGGGACUGAGACACGGCCCAAACUCCUACGGGAGGCAGCAGUAGGGAAUCUUCGGCAAUGGACGAAAGUCUGACCGAGCAACGCCGCGUGAGUGAAGAAGGUUUUCGGAUCGUAAAACUCUGUUGGUAGAGAAGAACGUUGGUGAGAGUGGAAAGCUCAUCAAGUGACGGUAACUACCCAGAAAGGGACGGCUAACUACGUG